Chrysemys picta bellii (western painted turtle) is the source of this 4638-nucleotide non-coding RNA. Lineage: Eukaryota; Metazoa; Chordata; Testudines; Emydidae. The record is from RefSeq and is a predicted model, not a curated record.
UCAGAGGCAACAAAGACUUUUGAACUGAAGUCAAUGGAGCUAUCCUGAUUUCUAACCACUGAGGAUUUGGCCCAAAGAGAUAUAAACCACUUGCCUCACGUCUUGCUUGCCUAACCACAUCCAACACAUACAAGGCCCCUCAGCACACAACAUUUGGCUUGUCUACACUUGAAAGUUAAUUUGCAUUAAGGUAGGGUAUGAAUUUAAAAUGCAAUAACUAUUCCUGAAUCACUUCAUCUCUUAAUCCAGAAUAAGAGUGUCCACUCAUGAAGUGAUUCAGGAAUAGCCAUUCCAGAAUCACUCCAUGUGCUGACAAGCCCGAAAGGGCAGAUCACCACUAGGUAUAAACAGGCCUUCAGUUUCAGUGACCGGAGGAAGAAAAUAGAUGUCUGUCUUGCCUGUUUACAUUGUUAAAGAGCCAGUCUCUCUUGCUCCAGAUCCAGAAACUCCAAGAGGAACUGGACAAGCUGGGUACCUGCCUUUCCCCCUCCUGCACCAGCACCAAGAACCCGGAGAGUGUGGGCAGCAACGCAGACUUCCUGGAGAGCUCCCGGGGCAGGCUGAGAUUCUCCCUCUUCUACCACAGGGAGCGACUUGAGCUGCUCUUGACGGUCAUUGCAGUGACAGGCCUGCCUAGCCGAGGGAGCGCUGACUCUGCUGUUCGGGUCCGGCUGCUGAAGCAGGUCCCAUCUCACAUCUCUGGCCUCCAGUGCAUGGUCCAUGAGUGGCAAACACAGGCGGUGAAGAACUGCAGGAAACCUGCCUUUGGGGACCAGUUUGUCUGCUCCCUGCAGGAGGCCGAGCUGGAGAAGAGCACUGUGAAGUUGGAGAGCUUACAGAGACAGGGAGCUUAUGCCAAGGAACUAAACAAAAGCACUAUCUGUUCCAAUACAGUUCAGCUCUCAAGACAGGAGUUGAUGAGGAAGUCCCCUAGAUGUAAGUGUUAGUAGCUGUAUCAGGUGCUUUCUGUUUUCUGACUCAGCUGGUCAGUUUUUCAUGGCAUUGAGGAAGCAGCCCCAGAAUGUGUUUCAUAUUUAUGCAUAUUUUUAUGUGAUUAUGGUUUUAUUUUAUUUUUCCUCUAUUGGAACGUAGGCUGAUUCUUUUGUUUCCAUUCUCUUCCUGAUGUUAUGUUGUUAAAUCAGCAUAUUGCUACUCCUCCCGCCCCCAGACUAUAGUGAUAUUAUGGCAAUGAGUUCCACAGACUAUCAUUGAGACCAAGAGCUUAGAAGGAUACACAUGCUUCUGGAAGCCUAUAUGGAUCACAAGAAAAUCCUGAGUUGCAGUAAUAUGGAUUGAAAACCUACAACCACCACCCUCAGGAGUUACAGAAAGGAUGCAAACUCUCCUGCUUCAGGGUACAAGUCAACCUCUAAUUACAGUUUGGAAGAAAUUUUCCCUGGUAGCAGGUUAUCUCAUAACUGCCUCCUGCAGCAUUCCUUGCACCAUGCCUGUAGCAGCCAGUACUGGCCACUCUCAAAGACAGGGUACUGAACUGGAUGGUCUGCAGGUCUGAUCCAAUACAGCAAUUCCCAUGUGUCACUACACACCUGCUAUGUCUUGGCAAUGCUCCAGGUGGCUCAAUACUCCAAAGCUUCUCUACUAUUUAGCCCUCAAUUUUCCCAUCUAAUUACAUUUACUCUUAUUCACUUACAUAUGGGACCUUCAAUGACAAAGUACCUAGCAAGGGUAUGAAAGGAAAUGCAGCAAGCAACUAACCAAAUAACCAUGACCAGAGUGGCUUGACCAGCCAUUAACAGGCCCAGUGCUUGGGCAACAGUGAACUACAAAGGGGAGAGGAAGAGGCCAUGCGGCGAGAGUGAAAGAUGGAAGGAGACAAAACUGGCGCGCAGAGGAGAACAAAAAAAUCCGCAGGGCAAGUUCCUCAGCUGUCUUAGAACAUCUUUGCACAGCUCCUUUAUGUCUCUAUAAUGUACUGGAUAUUGAGCUGUUGGAUCUGAGCACCUCCAGAAAGGGAAAACAAUGAAUUUUCUCUCUCCCAGUAGGAAGCAUUCUUAAAGUUUUUGUUUUUAACAACAGAAAGAUACGAGAGUGCAAAGCUGUUCUGAAACCCAUGUGAACAGCCACCAGAGGAUUCUCUUGACAUGUGUGGGGGGAUUGUAAAGAGAGACGUUGGGCUGCUCCAGCGGACACCUGGGGCCACCCUGGCACAGAGCAGGGUAGCAUAAACCUGCCUUUGCACAGCCCAUCUUGAGCUGUGCAGAGUGCUGUUUACACUGCAAAUGAAUUAACUGUGAAGGAGAAGCCGAUGGAAGGAAGUGACCGAGUGGUGGGGGAGUGAGGAGAGAAGAGAGCUUGAAGGAGCCUGUUCAGGUGAUAGGGGAAGGGAAGGAUCCAAGUUUUAUUUGCUGGGGAUGUGCCUCCCUUGCUCUCAUUUCAGCCCAAUACUGACCCCUUCAAACCUGGUGCCUGGUAGGUAGGAUUUAGACAGCUGCCCUUAGAACGUGAUGCAUGGACAUGGAGCUAGGCCUUGUGUGUGAAAAACAAAGGCCAGGUCUGAGACCUGGCCUAGUGCAGACGUAAUUCCAGUUGGCUUCAGGGGAUGUGGUACUGCAUAGCCCUGCUCCUGUGUCCCCUGUAGGGGGAUGCUGAUUCUCUCUGUCCCAUAGGUUAAACAUUACAACAAGUAUUCCAGACACACCAUGCUGGGGGAAGUGAGGGUCACCCUCAGCAAACUAAAGGCCUCCCAACGUAUGGAGUUCUGCGAGGAGCUACAGAAGACUACAAAGGACCUUGUUGGAGAAGUCCUUGUGUCGCUGAAGUGUCUUCCCAUCUCUCAGAAGAUAGAAAUUGGGCUGCUCAAAGUCAAAACUGCCUCCGUGUGCAGCAGUCCAGAGAAGAGUGUGUAUGCGAGAAUAGACAUCUCCUGCCAUCUCCACAAACAGAAGAAUCAGAAAUCCAGCCCCAGGGCCCGAACCUCAGUCAUCAUCUUCAACGAGACUUUCCUCUUCCAUCUUGCUGAGCCUGUUGCUGGGGCCUGCACAGUCCUGGUCUCCGUUUAUGAAAUGAGCUCCAGGGCCAGAGGCAGCAGCAGGCAGCUCAUUGGACAGGCUGUCCUGGGGAAGAGGAUCCCCAGAGAAGCCAAUGACCACUGGGCCCUCAUGAUGCAGUCUGUCCAGCAGCCUGUGGCUAAGUGGCAUCCUCUGCUACUUUAGAAGGAGGAUUUUGCACCACUUCCAUGAUGUAGAAACUGGCCAGAUUUUCUCCAUGGCAUCAGGCCCAACAGCGUUCGAAGUGGGUAUCUUCCAGAGAUGGGUAAUAGCCUGAAGCUCCUGGUUAGAACAGCACUAACCGAAGUAGCUGCUAGUUGUGACAAAAGUUGCUGAUUCAUUCUCCCUCCCAGCAGCAGCAAGGGAAUGUCUUUCCAUCCCUGCCAAGUCCCAUUGUGAUUUGAUUAACAGUACUAUUGCCGCAGCACCGAGAGGCUGCAACUGAGACCAGGGCCCCACUGCACUAGGUGCUGUGUAUACACACAGACAGUCAGUAAGAGAACAACUCUGCCCUGAUGAGUUUACAAUCUGAACAGUCAAGGGAAGCAAUGGGUGGGAGGAAAGGAGUAUUAUUAUCCCCCUUUGACAGAUGGGGAAUUGAGGCACAAAGAUUAAGUGACAUGUCCAAGGGUUCACAGGGACUCUGUGACAGAGUGGGGAUUUGAACCCAACAUCUCCUGAGUCCCAGUCCAGUGCCUCAAGCAUCCUUCCUCUCUUUCCCCUUUCUUUGCCUGGGAGAGUCUCAGAUGUGGCACUUUCCCAGUGAAGGCACCCAGGCCUUGCCACCACUGCCUCCCUUCACUCACACGCACAUAGAGUGCCUGUGGGGAUGGAUGAAUACAAGACCUCGGCAUCCCAGGCUGUCAGUCAGGCACUUUCCUUCAGUGAUACCCCCAUGUUAAAAACAAACAUGCUUUGUGUAAAUGCAGCCCCCUCUCACCUGCUAAAGAUAAAUGAAACAGCCCAGACCUUGUAAACGAGAGCAGAGCCUGCUGAAGUAGGAGCAACCUGCACACUUUGCCCUUGCUGCCCUCUCAGGAAAGGUCUGGCCCCUGUGGCCACCACCACAGCUGGAGAGCUGCCAGCUGCUAAAUUUGGAUGAAUGGUUGUGAUCCAUCUCCAGCAAAUGUGUGUGUGUUCAGGGCUCUCCUGAAGUGGCUAGGAGGCAUGGUAGUGCAUCUAAAGCUCAUUAAUGCUUGUAAACUGUUUUCUUCCCAGGAUAUCACCAUUUCCCUGCACCGCAUGUAGGGGUGGACAGUGGCCACUGCUCUGGGACUUCAGGCUUCUGCUUUGUUUAGUCUCCCAGCACACAGCACCCCCUGGUGGAGGCAUGGCAGCACAAUCUCACCUUGUCUGGCUGUAGAAACAGAUCAGACCCCAUAUCCACCUAGUCCUGUAUCCAGUCUCUAACAGUGGCCAGCACCAGCUAUUUCAGUGGAAGCUAUAAGAACCCUGCAGUGAAUAGAUGUGGGAGAAUCUGAUCCCCACAUUAGGUCUCACCUGGAUCUCUGUCAGUUAGAGAAUGGUUUAAGCCCUGAUGCACGAGGCUCCAUAGCCUUUCCUAAAUUUGUCAUAAUUAAUUAUAAGAAUUUUGGAUAUUCUUGAUACCCAUAAACAUGUUUUAUCCCUU